AUUGAACGCUGGCGGCAGGCCUAACACAUGCAAGUCGAACGGUAACAGGAAGAAGCUUGCUUCUUUGCUGACGAGUGGCGGACGGGUGAGUAAUGUCUGGGAAACUGCCUGAUGGAUGGGGAUAACUACUGGAAACGGUAGCUAAUACCGCAUAAUGUCGCAAGACCAAAGAGGGGGACCUUCGGGCCUCUUGCCAUCGGAUGUGCCCAGAUGGGAUUAGCUAGUAGGUGGGGUAACGGCUCACCUAGGCGACGAUCCCUAGCUGGUCUGAGAGGAUGACCAGCCACACUGGAACUGAGACACGGUCCAGACUCCUACGGGAGGCAGCAGUGGGGAAUAUUGCACAAUGGGCGCAAGCCUGAUGCAGCUAUGCCGCGUGUAUGAAGAAGGCCUUCGGGUUGUAAAGUACUUUCAGCGGGGAGGAAGGGAGUAAAGUUAAUACCUUUGCUCAUUGACGUUACCCGCAGAAGAAGCACCGGCUAACUCCGUG
Molecule: ribosomal RNA, 490 nt
Filed under: uncultured bacterium
Lineage: Bacteria
Description: partial 16S ribosomal RNA
Rfam family: Bacterial small subunit ribosomal RNA
Source: RNAcentral